RNAcentral lists this non-coding RNA (248 nucleotides) under Erinaceus europaeus (western European hedgehog). Its description in RNAcentral is "Voltage-gated potassium-channel Kv1.4 IRES". It matches the Rfam family "Voltage-gated potassium-channel Kv1.4 IRES". Rfam says of the family: This family represents the Kv1.4 voltage-gated potassium-channel internal ribosome entry site (IRES). The record is from Rfam by way of RNAcentral. Lineage: Eukaryota; Metazoa; Chordata; Mammalia; Eulipotyphla; Erinaceidae.
UAGGCUUGAGUGUGCUAGGCUGUUUUUCUAGACCAGCCAAGCUGUGGAAUGCAACAUCAAAUUCCUGGGAAGAGAGAGCAUGGGGUGUGCUGAUUUAAAAACAGAAGAUGCAAAGUUGAACCGAAAAUAUCCUUAAUUAAUUUAUCCAAACUUACUUUAAUUUGGUGAGAAAAGAAGCUGCUCUCUUUUAUCCCCCUUUCUUCUUCUUCUACAACUGGAACCAGCCAUUUCUAAAAUCCAUCACCAUG